This 217-nucleotide long non-coding RNA is filed under the name Elaeis guineensis (African oil palm). RNAcentral's name for it is "long non-coding RNA (EGUI_LNC063889)". The record is from RNAcentral. Lineage: Eukaryota; Viridiplantae; Streptophyta; Magnoliopsida; Arecales; Arecaceae.
CCUGAAGAGCAAUAAGUCUUUUUCAAGCGAAAAUCAUUAGUACCCCUUCAAAUACUUUGUAAUCAUCAAAAUCAAUCUAAGGAGCAACAAUCUCCCCCUUUUUGAUGAUGACAAAACACUUGAAUGAAAGCAUAUAUAUGAAACAAUGAGCAUGAAUUUCAAAGAAAUGAAAUGCAUUAUAGGUAGUUUGAAGAUAAAUAAAAAAUUUACUACCCAC